RNAcentral lists this ribosomal RNA (468 nucleotides) under uncultured bacterium. RNAcentral's name for it is "partial 16S ribosomal RNA". It matches the Rfam family "Bacterial small subunit ribosomal RNA", at positions 28 to 507 of the family's 1533-position model. The record is from RNAcentral.
GAUGAACGCUGGCGGCGUGCUUAACACAUGCAAGUCGAACGGUGAAGGCGGAGCUUGCUCUGCUGGAUCAGUGGCGAACGGGUGAGUAACACGUGAGCAAUCUGCCCCUGACUCUGGGAUAAGCGCUGGAAACGGCGUCUAAUACUGGAUACGAGCUGCGAAGGCAUCUUCAGCAGCUGGAGAGAACUUCGGUCAGGGAUGAGCUCGCGGCCUAUCAGCUUGUUGGUGAGGUAACGGCUCACCAAGGCGUCGACGGGUAGCCGGCCUGAGAGGGUGACCGGCCACACUGGGACUGAGACACGGCCCAGACUCCUACGGGAGGCAGCAGUGGGGAAUAUUGCACAAUGGGCGAAAGCCUGAUGCAGCAACGCCGCGUGAGGGACGACGGCCUUCGGGUUGUAAACCUCUUUUAGCAGGGAAGAAGCGAAAGUGACGGUACCUGCAGAAAAAGCGCCGGCUAACUACGUG